AUUCCCGUAGACAAAUUAGGUAAAGUCAACACCCUUUCAAGGUGUGGUUUGAGGGUUCAAGUCCCUUCGGGAAUGCCA
This 78-nucleotide transfer RNA is filed under the name Escherichia coli. RNAcentral describes it as "tRNA-Glu". It matches the Rfam family "tRNA". From Rfam's summary of the family: Transfer RNA (tRNA) molecules are approximately 80 nucleotides in length. RNAcentral also lists the same sequence under 16 other names. Lineage: Bacteria; Pseudomonadati; Pseudomonadota; Gammaproteobacteria; Enterobacterales; Enterobacteriaceae. The record is from RNAcentral.